Molecule: non-coding RNA, 90 nt
Filed under: Pseudomonas sp. bs2935
Lineage: Bacteria; Pseudomonadati; Pseudomonadota; Gammaproteobacteria; Pseudomonadales; Pseudomonadaceae
Source: RNAcentral
UGUGGGAGCUGGCUUGCCUGCGAUAGCGGUGUGUCAGUCCACCGUUAUGCUAACUGGCCCACCGCUAUCGCAGGCAAGCCAGCUCCCACC